Molecule: non-coding RNA, 133 nt
Organism: Paramuricea clavata
Lineage: Eukaryota; Metazoa; Cnidaria; Anthozoa; Malacalcyonacea; Plexauridae
Source: the annotation of a GenBank genome assembly
UUAAGAUUGUUCUAACAAGUCUGAUACAGUGAUGAUAUAACAUGAAGAAUGUUACCAGGCUGAUGGCACAAGGUUUUAAUACUAAUAAUAUUGUCAUAUCAUGACUGUAUUGGACUUGUUGGAACAACCUUGC